AUUCUUUAAAUUAUCCCUUUUUUCUCUAUAAAUCUUUGUUAAGAAAUUGGAUAGGUCAGAAGUUCAAAGCAAUAUUGUUUGAUCCGACUAAAGUUUGACAACCUCAGUUCCGAAGAGUUCGAAAAAUGGUGGAAGGCGUGUUCAAAUCCAGACUCACGCAUAUAAAGAACUUCACAGCAACUUCGGAUAUUUUAAGGAAAUGGCCCCAGUAUAAACUUCCUACUGGAUUUUGAUUCUUGGACAUGGACUUCGAGUAUAUUAUUAAAAAUCACAACUCUCUCCUUGAACGAUGGGAAAACCUAUACUGCAAAAAGAUCGAGUUAAAGAAAAAUCGAUCAAGGACGUUCUGGAUAAAAUGGAGUGUAAUAACACACCAGAAAACUGUCGGGAUGCUGCUCUCUUGUGGGCACUUCAUGGGUACCUAGUACCCACAUUAAAGUCUGUGCGAAAGGAAAAGGAAUGAAGACAACAUUGAAACCAACCAUCAAAGACUCCCAGGAGUCGUUUGUUUUUGUUGCAGCAUCUAUCCAGAACGUUGAGGACCACAUCCAGCACCUUCAACAAAAAGGAGAUAACGUCCAGCCGUUUAUAAUUGUGGUUGGUAAGGAUGUUAUUAAUUUUAAGGAAAUAUUUUUAUAUUUCGACGGGGUAAAGUUUCCUUUUAUUAGUUUCAUACGGGCGGUCGAUAUUUGUUUUAAAACAUUCUUCCUUUUUAACUUAGAAUUUCCUAAUCCAAGUUCCAACUUUUGGAACUUUAUUCAGUCAUUGUAUUUUGAUGAUAAUAAAAAAUGUUGUACAAAAGCACACAUCCUUCUAAACGUAAUUAAUGAAUAAUUUUUAUUUAAAUUU
Episyrphus balteatus (marmalade hoverfly) is the source of this 849-nucleotide long non-coding RNA. RefSeq lists it as uncharacterized. Lineage: Eukaryota; Metazoa; Arthropoda; Insecta; Diptera; Syrphidae. The transcript is spliced from 3 exons. The record is from RefSeq and is a predicted model, not a curated record.